Molecule: ribosomal RNA, 446 nt
Filed under: uncultured bacterium
Lineage: Bacteria
Description: bacterial SSU rRNA
Rfam family: Bacterial small subunit ribosomal RNA
Source: RNAcentral
GCCCAGACUCCUACGGGAGGCAGCAGUGGGGAAUAUUGCACAAUGGGGGAAACCCUGAUGCAGCGACGCCGCGUGGAGGAAGAAGGUCUUCGGAUUGUAAACUCCUGUCCUUGGGGACGAUAAUGACGGUACCCAAGGAGGAAGCACCGGCUAACUACGUGCCAGCAGCCGCGGUAAAACGUAGGGUGCAAGCGUUGUCCGGAAUUACUGGGUGUAAAGGGAGCGUAGACGGCAGUGCAAGUCCGGAGUGAAAGCCCGGGGCUCAACCCUGGGACUGCUCUGGAAACUGUAAAGCUGGAGUGCGGGAGGGGCAGGCGGAAUUCCUGGUGUAGCGGUGAAAUGCGUAGAUAUCAGGAGGAACACCGGCGGCGAAGGCGGCCUGCUGGACCGUAACUGACGUUGAGGCUCGAAAGCGUGGGGAGCAAACAGGAUUAGAUACCCCAGUA